This 503-nucleotide ribosomal RNA is filed under the name uncultured bacterium. RNAcentral's name for it is "partial 16S ribosomal RNA". It matches the Rfam family "Bacterial small subunit ribosomal RNA", at positions 30 to 523 of the family's 1533-position model. The record is from RNAcentral.
AUUGAACGCUGGCGGCAGGCUUAACGCAUGCAAGUCGAGCGGGGUGAUGGUGCUUGCACUAUCACUUAGCGGCGGACGGGUGAGUAAUGCUUAGGAAUCUGCCCAUUAGUGGGGGACAACAUCUCGAAAGGGAUGCUAAUACCGCAUACGUCCUACGGGAGAAAGCAGGGGAUCACUUGUGACCUUGCGCUAAUAGAUGAGCCUAAGUCGGAUUAGCCAGUUGGUGGGGUAAAGGCCUACCAAGGCGACGAUCUGUAGCGGGUUUGCGAGGAUGAUCCGCCACACUGGGACUGAGACACGGCCCAGACUCCUACGGGAGGCAGCAGUGGGGAAUAUUGGACGAUGGGGGGAACCCUGAUCCAGCCAUGCCGCGUGUGUGAAGAAGGCCUUAUGGUUGUAAAGCACUUUAAGCGAGGAGGAGGCUCUUUUGGUUAAUACCCAAGAUGAGUGGACGUUACUCGCAGAAUAAGCACCGGCUAACUCUGUGCCAGCCGCCGCAGUAA